AUUGAACGCUGGCGGCGUGCCUAACACAUGCAAGUCGAGCGAGAAAGCUCCUUCGGGAGUUAGUAAAGCGGCGAACGGGUGAGCAACACGUGAGAAUCUACCCUUUAGUGAAGAAUACCCUCGAGAAAUCGAGGCUAAUACUGCAUACGUCCCUUCGGGGAGAAAGAUGGCCUCUUUGCUAUCGCUAAAGGAUGAGCUUGCGUACUAUUAGCUAGUUGGCGGGGUAAAGGCCCACCAAGGCAAUGAUGGUUAACCGGCCUGAGAGGGUGUACGGUCACACUGGAACUUAGACACGGUCCAGACUCCUACGGGAGGCAGCAGUGAGGAAUCUUGCGCAAUGGGCGAAAGCCUGACGCAGCGACGCCGCGUGGAGGAUGACGGUUUUCGGAUUGUAAACUCCUGUUAAGCGGGAAGAAAGCCUUGUUUCUAAUACAAGCAAGGUAUGACGGUACCGCUAGAGAAAGCACCGGCUAACUUCGUGCCAGCAGCCGCGGUAA
Molecule: ribosomal RNA, 497 nt
Filed under: uncultured bacterium
Lineage: Bacteria
Description: bacterial SSU rRNA
Rfam family: Bacterial small subunit ribosomal RNA
Source: RNAcentral